Molecule: ribosomal RNA, 497 nt
Filed under: uncultured bacterium
Lineage: Bacteria
Description: partial 16S ribosomal RNA
Rfam family: Bacterial small subunit ribosomal RNA
Source: RNAcentral
GAUGAACGCUGGCGGCGUGCCUAAUACAUGCAAGUCGAGCGAACGGACGAGAAGCUUGCUUCUCUGAUGUUAGCGGCGGACGGGUGAGUAAAACGUGGAUAACCUACCUAUAAGACUGGGAUAACUUCGGGAAACCGUAGCUAAUACCGGAUAAUAUUUUGAACCGCAUGGUUCAAAAGUGAAAGACGGUCUUGCUGUCACUUAUAGAUGGAUCCGCGCUGCAUUAGCUAGUUGGUAAGGUAACGGCUUACCAAGGCAACGAUGCAUAGCCGACCUGAGAGGGUGAUCGGCCAGACGGGAACUGAGACACGGUCCAGACUCCUACGGGAGGCAGCAGUAGGGAAUCUUCCGCAAUGGGCGAAAGCCUGAUGGAGCAACGCCGCGUGAGUGAUGAAGGUCUUCGGAUCGUAAAACUCUGUUAUUAGGGAAGAACAUAUGUGUAAGUAACUGUGCACAUCUUGACGGUACCUAAGCAGAAAGCCACGGCUAACUACGUG